CUGCUGCCGACUCCGGUUAGUAGGAGCUGGUUUCCGUCCACGACCUAAAGCCGCAGGCACCGCCUGGUCUGAUGAAUGAGCUAUCCUCUGUGCGGGCCUUUGUACACACCAGUGAGCUGCUUCGACCACACCCUGGUCCAAGCAGGCUCUGGGUCCCAGCCUUCAGCCCCAGACCUCCAGCCAGCUACAAGGCCUGGUCAGGGAGCCAAACAUCCAGCCCCAGACGUCCAGCCAGCUGCAAGGCCUGGUCAGGGAGCCAAACCCCCAGGCCCCAGCCCCAGACGUCCAGCAAGCUGCAAGGCCUGGUCAGGGAGCCAAACCUCUAGGCUCAGACAUCCAGCCAGCUGCAAGGCCUGGUCAGGAAGCCAUACCCCCAGGUCCCAGCCCCAGACGUCCAGCAAGCUGCAAGGCCUGGUCAGGGAGCCAAACCUCUAGGCUCAGACAUCCAGCCAGCUGCAAGGCCUGGUCAGGGAGCCAUACCCCCAGGUCCCAGCCCCAGACGUCCAGCAAGCUGCAAGGCCUGGUCAGGGAGCCAAACCUCCAGGCCCCAGCCCCAGACGUCCAGCAAGCUGCAAGGCCUGGUCAGGGAGCCAAACCUCCAGGCCCAGACGUCCAGCCACCUGCAAGGCCUGGUCAGGGAGCCAAACAUCUAGGCCCCAGCCCCAGACGUCCAGCCAGCUGAAAUGCCUGGUCAGGGAGCCAAACCUCCAGGCCCCAGCCCCAGAGCUGAGCAGAGAAUCAGGGGUCUCAGUCACUCGUCAUUGACAAGCCAUCCAUUCAUACAGAAUUAAGGAGGAACAAGUCUUCACCACUUUUGUACAACCCCAAACCCACUUCUGUGUAACCGACUAGCCGUACACCCUAAAUAUUCAAUGCGACUGCUGGAUGUGUUUUAUGCAGACAGAACCUGACAGGCCUGAACCGAUGCCAAGCCCUAGGACCAUGCCUCAGGACUACCUGGCCUGAUGACUCCUUGCUGUCCCCAGUCCACCUGGUCGUGCUGCGGCUCCAGUUUCAACUAUUCUGCCUGCAGCUAUGGAACCCUGACCUGUUCACCGGACGUGCAGAAGACAGCAGGAGCGGUAGAGAUACUCUGAAUGAUCGGCUAUGAAGAGCCAACUGACAUUUACUCCUGACGUGCUGACCUGUUGCACCCUCUACAACCACUGUGAUUAUUAUGAUUUGACCAUGCUGGUCAUCUAUGAACAUUUGAACAUCUUGGCCAUGUUCUGUUAUAAUCUCCACCCGGCACAGCCAGAAGAGGACUGGCCACCCCUCAUAGCCUGGUUCCUCUUUAGGUUUCUUCCUAGGUUCUGGCCUUUCUAGGGAGUUUUUCCUUGCCACCAUGCUUCUACACCUGCAUUGCUUGCUGUUUGGGAUUUUAGGCUGGGUUUCUGUACAGCACUUUGUGAUAUCAGCUGAUGUAAGAAGGGCUUUAUAAAUACAUUUGAUUUGAUUGA
Molecule: long non-coding RNA, 1460 nt
Organism: Oncorhynchus nerka (sockeye salmon)
Lineage: Eukaryota; Metazoa; Chordata; Actinopteri; Salmoniformes; Salmonidae
Exons: 4
Source: RefSeq, a predicted model, not a curated record